GACGAACGCUGGCGGCGUGCUUAACACAUGCAAGUCGAACGGAAAGACCCUGCUUUUGUGGGGUGCUCGAGUGGCGAACGGGUGAGUAACACGUGAGUAACCUGCCCUUGACUUUGGGAUAACUUCAGGAAACUGGGGCUAAUACCGGAUAUGAGCUCCUGCUGCAUGGUGGGGGUUGGAAAGUUUCGGCGGUUGGGGAUGGACUCGCGGCUUAUCAGCUUGUUGGUGGGGUAGUGGCUUACCAAGGCUUUGACGGGUAGCCGGCCUGAGAGGGUGACCGGCCACAUUGGGACUGAGAUACGGCCCAGACUCCUACGGGAGGCAGCAGUGGGGAAUAUUGCACAAUGGGCGGAAGCCUGAUGCAGCAACGCCGCGUGCGGGAUGACGGCCUUCGGGUUGUAAACCGCUUUCGCCUGUGACGAAGCGUGAGUGACGGUAAUGGGUAAAGAAGCACCGGCUAACUACGUG
This 468-nucleotide ribosomal RNA is filed under the name uncultured bacterium. RNAcentral describes it as "partial 16S ribosomal RNA". It matches the Rfam family "Bacterial small subunit ribosomal RNA", at positions 28 to 507 of the family's 1533-position model. The record is from RNAcentral.